GCUGGGUGUGGUGGUGCGCACCUGUAGUCCCAGCUACUCGGGAGGCUGAGGCAGGAGAAUCACUUGAACCCGGGAGGUGGAGGUUGCAGUGAGCCAAGAUCAUGCCACUGCACUCCAGCCUGGGUGACAGAGCGAGACUCUGUCUCAA
Molecule: non-coding RNA, 148 nt
Filed under: Nomascus leucogenys (northern white-cheeked gibbon)
Lineage: Eukaryota; Metazoa; Chordata; Mammalia; Primates; Hylobatidae
Source: Rfam by way of RNAcentral